GCCUGGUGUAAUAAUUUUAGGUAACGCCUGCCCAAUGAUUUUCAAUGGCCGCAGUAUCCUGACUGUGCAAAGGUAGCAUAAUCACUUGUCUUUUAAUUGAAGGCUAGUAUGAAUGGUGUGACGUAGCAGGAGCUGUACCACUGGUAUAAUUUAACUUAAUCUGUAAGUCAAAAAGCUUACAUGCUCCCGCAGGACGAGAAGACCCCGUAGAUCUUUAUAUUCCCCUUAGCUCGCACAGACAGAUAAUAAAUGGUGAACUAACAGGUGUUAUUACGUUGGGGUGACGGGAGGUAACACAACACCUCCAGCCUACCACUGAAAUUCACGGUUAAUGGAUCCAUUUAUGAUUACAAAAAUAAGUUACCUCGGGGAUAACAGCGUAAUCUAUUUUCAGAGUUCUUAUCAACAAAUAGGAUUGCGACCUCGAUGUUGGAUUAAGAGCCGUACAAAACGCAACCGUUUUUAUUCGGGGUCUGUUCGACC
RNAcentral lists this ribosomal RNA (483 nucleotides) under Bugilliesia margaretae. RNAcentral's name for it is "partial 16S ribosomal RNA". It matches the Rfam family "Bacterial large subunit ribosomal RNA", at positions 1831 to 2586 of the family's 2925-position model. Lineage: Eukaryota; Metazoa; Arthropoda; Insecta; Ephemeroptera; Baetidae. The record is from RNAcentral.